GUGCUCACAUCGGCAGCUCAUAUACUGAAAAACUGGGACGAUACGGAGAAGAUUAACGUGGCCCCUGAGCAAGGGUGACACGCAAAUUCGUGAAGCGUCCCGUUAAAAAUAGAU
Small nuclear RNA from Mustela putorius furo (domestic ferret), 114 nucleotides. Lineage: Eukaryota; Metazoa; Chordata; Mammalia; Carnivora; Mustelidae. The record is from Ensembl.